CAGGGAAUAGUUUAAAUA
This 18-nucleotide transfer RNA is filed under the name Ursus arctos (brown bear). Its description in RNAcentral is "partial tRNA-Pro". The record is from RNAcentral. Lineage: Eukaryota; Metazoa; Chordata; Mammalia; Carnivora; Ursidae.